GCUACCUCAUUAGUGUCAGAAAGCCGGAGGGGUGCUGGCCAGGCUGCAGCAAGGGAACAACUGGAGGGAAGGAAGAGACAGAGGCAGAGCAGAGGACAGGGAGGGCCCUGGUUUCCUUCUCGCGUGUGUUUACGCCCUGUGAUCAGCCUCCAGUGAGGAACUGUGAGCGAAAGCAGCUGGAGCCCUGCAGAGGGAGGCAAGGGCACUGCCCGGAUGAGAGCGGCUGGCUUCUGAGGCCCUGCGAGUCCUCCAGCUCACACAGCUCUGCAGUGGAGCCCCAGGAGCUCAGCUACAGAAUCCGGAAACCUGAAGCCCCACAGUUAGGAUGGCUGGCAGCGGGCAGGAGGUGGUGCUGCUGCUUCUCCCUCCUCCUGAGGACUGGAGACCACAGAGCCCGAUGA
RNAcentral lists this long non-coding RNA (401 nucleotides) under Fukomys damarensis (Damara mole-rat). RNAcentral describes it as "lncRNA (ENSFDAG00000028090.1)". Lineage: Eukaryota; Metazoa; Chordata; Mammalia; Rodentia; Bathyergidae. The record is from RNAcentral.